UAAACUUAACAAAUAUGAAGCGUUUUAAUAACAUACAUGGACCCAAAUCUAACUUGACCCGACCGGGCCAUGGACACUCUUGCUUUCAAAUUACUAACAAUUUUAAGAAUUCCUUGAGAAAGAAAAACUAUUUGAGAAUUUCCCAAUCGUAGGCUGGAGGGUAGGGAAGCCUGGUGAUCAUCAUUUAUGGGAAAUGCUAUGUCCUAGUAUUGGAUAGCUUAUGUUUCAUUAUUUAAAGAAAGGAACUGUUCCAUUGCUAAACUUGAAGUCGCUAAAAGCAAGCACAAUAAAGUAGGAUGUUUGUGGAAGGAAUUUAGCAUCAUUGCAGCUGAAAUGGCAGGGGCUUUAGCAAUGCAAAGCAAAGCAGGGGAUAGAGUAGGGUUAGAGCUUUAUGGCUACCAGGCAACCCCCAACAACAAAUACUGUCGAGUGGAGACGUAUAAUUGGUGCACACAGUGUCUAUUGCCGGUGGACUCAUACAUCUUAUCACGCAUAGCACAAUGAAAUUGAGGGUAAUAUUAUAGAAACCUGCUUUCAAGAUUCAAGAACACAUAGCAACUUCCUCGCUACACAUAGAAGCAUUUCUCAAAGUUGUAAACAACUCCGGUGUUUGGCCCAUUGGUCAAGGAUGUUCACUCCAUACUCAGUGGGAUGGAAUUGCCGGAAUUACCUAGUAGUGGUAUGUAUUAUGUGUGACAGUAAUUUGCUUCUGCCAGUAUCAGAUUAAGCAACAAGAAAAAGGACCAUGCUUGUCUGGUCUGGAGACUGGAAAUGCCUUCAUCAAAGAACAAAGGCAAACCCUUUUACUACAUGUGGUAAAGCAUCAUCUAUGUAAUUCCUCUGCUACUGUUUAAGCACCAUCUCUUCACAUUGAUUGAUACAGCAUUUGUUAAAGAAAAACAAAUAUUGCAAAUUAGUAAAGCAAGAAGAGGUCUAUACGAGUAAUGGAAGCAAAAUGGGCAGAUUUGAUCCCAACACUCUUUGGCCUAGAAGUUACAUACACAUAUCGCAAAGCAGAAGUUUAAGCUUUCAUCAAUCUACAUGAUCUCCAUUCUCCAACACCAAAAUUUGUACUUAAAACCCAUUAUUGCUUUUGAAGAUUGUGACUGAAACCGGUUAAGAACGGCAUUAAAACUAUAACAAGUUUCCAUCUUUUAAUCAAAAUGAGCAACAAAACCAAGAAACCCAAAUAUUAAAAGAUAAAAAUAAACUAAAAUAAAGAGAGAAAGAGUGAACUUUUCCUCGUAGAGCUUCAAGGAUUUUACAUUGUUCUCAUCAAAACUGCACAAAAGUGUCGUAUCCAGAUCCAGCUGCUUAACCAGCUCAAGUUGUAACCGCGUUUCAGCCAAUUCCAGCUCACUUGUUUUCUUUCCUGUCCUAGCUUUGAUGCUCCUUUCACUAUCAUGAGUUGGUAAAGUUGAGAUUUUUACUAAUAGUUUAGCCUUCAAUAGAAAACAAACGACAUAGGGAGAAAAUU
This 1477-nucleotide long non-coding RNA is filed under the name Gossypium raimondii (Peruvian cotton). Its description in RNAcentral is "long non-coding RNA (GRAI_LNC000806)". Lineage: Eukaryota; Viridiplantae; Streptophyta; Magnoliopsida; Malvales; Malvaceae. The record is from RNAcentral.